CAUUUCUUACCGAAUUUAUUGUAAGUACCACCUGCUCCAUGAAAUCUAAAUAGCCGCGGGAAUUUAACCGUGCUAAGGUAGCAUAAUCAUUAGCCUCUUAAUUAGAGGCUCGCAUGAAUGGUGAAACAUUUCAAUUUCUGUAUCAAUUAAAUCUGUUAAAUUUAAGCUAAGAAUAAAAAUGUUCUUAUUUUAAAAAAAGACGACAAGACCCUUUUGAACUUUACUUCUGUUUAGCUGGGGCAGCUAUUAAAAAAUUAUUUUUAUACCAUUAUUUUAAUAAAAGACCUAAUACAAUUAAUUAUUAGAACAAGUUACCACAGGGAUAACAGCGUAAUAUCUUUUUAAAGCUCUUAUUAAAAAAGAAGAUUGCGACCUCGAUGUUGAAUUAAUGUAACUUAACUAAUGCAGCCAUUAAUCUAAGUGGGUCUGUUCGACCCUUUAUACAUUAC
Molecule: ribosomal RNA, 449 nt
Filed under: Araneidae sp. ORB021
Lineage: Eukaryota; Metazoa; Arthropoda; Arachnida; Araneae; Araneidae
Description: partial 16S ribosomal RNA
Rfam family: Bacterial large subunit ribosomal RNA
Source: RNAcentral